This 521-nucleotide long non-coding RNA is filed under the name Rattus norvegicus (Norway rat). Its description in RNAcentral is "long non-coding RNA NONRATT017569". Lineage: Eukaryota; Metazoa; Chordata; Mammalia; Rodentia; Muridae. The record is from RNAcentral.
GGGCCCCUCCCUUUCCCCAUUGGGGCCCUGGUGCUUGCUGGGGGAGACUCUUUCCUCUCUUUUUAUUGCUCUAUAACGCUCAAGGCGAGGGGGAUAUAAGGCCGGUGGAGUAGAGCCUGAGAGGGGGGUGGGCGGGAGGGAGAGGCGCUACCGGCAUAAGGGAACGUGAUGAACUCCCAGUUGAUCGGGAUCCUGUUCAGCGCCCUGCUAGGGGCUGCCCUGGGUAAGGAGGAAGCUACAGUGCCCCUGGCACGGGCCCGCCCUUCCCUCUGCUAGAACUCCUCUAAGGGCCAGAUCCAGUACCUCUUUUUCCUGACAGGACAGCGCAUGCGGUGCUAUGACUGCGGUGGAGGCCCCAGCAACUCCUGCAAGCAGACAGUGAUCACCUGUGGUGAAGGUGAGCGCUGUGGAUUCCUGGACCGCAAACCUCAACCCAGCUCAGAACAAGCCAAGCAACGUGAGUCCUUGGUCGUCCACCCAUCCCCCUUCCCACUGCUUCUAACCAGCCCCCUCUUCAAUCC